Molecule: ribosomal RNA, 253 nt
Filed under: uncultured bacterium
Lineage: Bacteria
Description: partial 16S ribosomal RNA
Rfam family: Bacterial small subunit ribosomal RNA
Source: RNAcentral
UACGGAGGGGACUAGCGUUGUUCGGAAUUACUGGGCGUAAAGCGCACGUAGGCGGAUUUGUAAGUCAGGGGUGAAAUCCCGAGGCUCAACCUCGGAACUGCCUUUGAUACUGCAAAUCUCGAGUCCGGAAGAGGUGAGUGGAAUUCCUAGUGUAGAGGUGAAAUUCGUAGAUAUUAGGAAGAACACCAGUGGCGAAGGCGGCUCACUGGUCCGGUACUGACGCUGAGGUGCGAAAGCCAGGGGAGCAAACGGG